RNAcentral lists this ribosomal RNA (433 nucleotides) under uncultured bacterium. RNAcentral's name for it is "partial 16S ribosomal RNA". It matches the Rfam family "Bacterial small subunit ribosomal RNA", at positions 29 to 507 of the family's 1533-position model. The record is from RNAcentral.
AACGAACGCUGGCGGCAUGCCUAACACAUGCAAGUCGAACGAGACCUUCGGGUCUAGUGGCGCACGGGUGCGUAACGCGUGGGAACCUGCCCUUAGGUUCGGAAUAACUCCCCGAAAGGGGUGCUAAUACCGGAUAAUGUCUUCGGCCCAAAGAUUUAUCGCCUUUGGAUGGGCCCGCGUUGGAUUAGCUAGUUGGUAGGGUAAAAGCCUACCAAGGCGACGAUCCAUAGCUGGUCUGAGAGAAUGAUCAGCCACACUGGGACUGAGACACGGCCCAGACUCCUACGGGAGGCAGCAGUGGGGAAUAGUGGACAAUGGGCGAAAGCCUGAUCCAGCAAUGCCGCGUGAGUGAUGAAGGCCUUAGGGUUGUAAAGCUCUUUUACCCGGGAUGAUAAUGACAGUACCGGGAGAAUAAGCUCCGGCUAACUCCGUG